RNAcentral lists this unclassified non-coding RNA (330 nucleotides) under soil metagenome. RNAcentral's name for it is "partial contains 5.8S ribosomal RNA, internal transcribed spacer 2, and large subunit ribosomal RNA". The stretch from base 1 to 119 matches the Rfam family "5.8S ribosomal RNA", at positions 35 to 154 of the family's 154-position model. The record is from RNAcentral.
GAUGAAGAACGUAGCGAAAUGCGAUAAGUAAUGUGAAUUGCAGAAUUCAGUGAAUCAUCGAAUCUUUGAACGCACAUUGCGCCCCCUGUAUUCCGGGGGGCAUGCCUGUUCGAGCGUCAUUUCACCACUCAAGCCUCGCUUGGUAUUGGGCAACGCGGUCCGCCGCGUGCCUCAAAUCGACCGGCUGGGUCUUCUGUCCCCUAAGCGUUGUGGAAACUAUUCGCUAAAGGGUGUUCGGGAGGCUACGCCGUAAAACAACCCCAUUUCUAAGGUUGACCUCGGAUCAGGUAGGGAUACCCGCUGAACUUAAGCAUAUCAAUAAGCGGAGGA